AACAAACGCUGGCGGCGUGCUUAACACAUGCAAGUCGUACGAGAAAUCCUGGGCAACUGGGAAAGUAAAGUGGCGCACGGGUGAGUAACGCGUGGGUAACCUACCCCUGAAUUGGGGAUAACUUUCCGAAAGGAGAGUUAAUACCGAAUAAUAUUUUAGCUUCCACGGAAGCUAAAAUCAAAGGUGGCCUCUGCAUGCAAGCUACUGUUCAAGGAUGGGCCCGCGUACCAUUAGCUAGUUGGUAGGGUAACGGCCUACCAAGGCUACGAUGGUUAGCUGGUCUGAGAGGAUGGCCAGCCACACUGGGACUGAGACACGGCCCAGACUCCUACGGGAGGCAG
RNAcentral lists this ribosomal RNA (341 nucleotides) under uncultured Pseudomonadota bacterium. RNAcentral's name for it is "bacterial SSU rRNA". It matches the Rfam family "Bacterial small subunit ribosomal RNA", at positions 29 to 351 of the family's 1533-position model. The record is from RNAcentral. Lineage: Bacteria; Pseudomonadati; Pseudomonadota.